RNAcentral lists this ribosomal RNA (515 nucleotides) under Nothophoma quercina. RNAcentral describes it as "eukaryotic LSU rRNA". The stretch from base 143 to 296 matches the Rfam family "5.8S ribosomal RNA". Lineage: Eukaryota; Fungi; Ascomycota; Dothideomycetes; Pleosporales; Didymellaceae. The record is from RNAcentral.
GAUCGUGGAGUGUAGGCUUUGCCUGCUAUCUCUUACCCAUGUCUUUUAAGUACCUUACGUUUCCUCGGCGGGUCCGCCCGCCGAUUGGACAAUUUAAACCAUUUGCAGUUGCAAUCAGCGUCUGAAAAAACUUAAUAGUUACAACUUUCAACAACGGAUCUCUUGGUUCUGGCAUCGAUGAAGAACGCAGCGAAAUGCGAUAAGUAGUGUGAAUUGCAGAAUUCAGUGAAUCAUCGAAUCUUUGAACGCACAUUGCGCCCCUUGGUAUUCCAUGGGGCAUGCCUGUUCGAGCGUCAUUUGUACCUUCAAGCUCUGCUUGGUGUUGGGUGUUUGUCUCGCCUCUGCGUGUAGACUCGCCUCAAAACAAUUGGCAGCCGGCGUAUUGAUUUCGGAGCGCAGUACAUCUCGCGCUUUGCACUCAUAACGACGACGUCCAAAAGUACAUUUUUACACUCUUGACCUCGGAUCAGGUAGGGAUACCCGCUGAACUUAAGCAUAUCAAUAAGCCGGAGGAA